AUUGAACGCUGGCGGCAGGCCUAACACAUGCAAGUCGAGCGGAUGAGGAAAGCUUGCUUUUCGAUUCAGCGGCGGACGGGUGAGUAAUGCCUAGGAAUCUGCCUGUUAGUGGGGGAUAACUCGGGGAAACUCGGGCUAAUACCGCAUACGUCCUACGGGAGAAAGUGGGGGAUCUUCGGACCUCACGCUAACAGAUGAGCCUAGGUCGGAUUAGCUAGUAGGUGAGGUAAUGGCUCACCUAGGCGACGAUCCGUAACUGGUCUGAGAGGAUGAUCAGUCACACUGGAACUGAGACACGGCCCAGACUCCUACGGGAGGCAGCAGUGGGGAAUAUUGGACAAUGGGGGGAACCCUGAUCCAGCCAUGCCGCGUGUGUGAAGAAGGCCUUAUGGUUGUAAAGCACUUUAAGCGAGGAGGAGGCUCUUUUGGUUAAUACCCAAGAUGAGUGGACGUUACUCGCAGAAUAAGCACCGGCUAACUCUGUGCCAGCAGCCGCGGUAA
This 501-nucleotide ribosomal RNA is filed under the name uncultured bacterium. RNAcentral's name for it is "partial 16S ribosomal RNA". It matches the Rfam family "Bacterial small subunit ribosomal RNA", at positions 30 to 523 of the family's 1533-position model. The record is from RNAcentral.